GGGCGGCUAGCUCAGCUGGUUAGAGCACUUGCUUGACAUGCAUCCGAGGCUGAGCGCUGUGCCGCCCC
Molecule: transfer RNA, 68 nt
Filed under: Chloroflexota bacterium
Lineage: Bacteria; Bacillati; Chloroflexota
Description: Chloroflexi bacterium tRNA-Val
Source: RNAcentral